UCGAGGGGUAGAGUUAGCUUGCUAACUUGAGACCGGCGCACGGGUGCGUAACGCGUAUGCAAUCUACCUUAUACUCAGGGAUAGCCCGGAGCAAUCCGGAUUAAUACCUUAUAGUAUAUUAAAGUGGCAUCAUUUUAAUAUUAAAGAUUUAUUGGUAUAAGAUGAGCAUGCGUCCCAUUAGUUAGUUGGUGUGGUAACGGCACACCAAGACGAUGAUGGGUAGGGGUCCUGAGAGGGAGAUCCCCCACACUGGUACUGAGACACGGACCAGACUCCUACGGGAGGCAGCAGUGAGGAAUAUUGGUCAAUGGAGGCAACUCUGAACCAGCCAUGCCGCGUGCAGGAUGACGGUCCUAUGGAUUGUAAACUGCUUUUGUACAGGAAGAAAAAGAGCUACGUGUAGUUUAUUGACGGUACUGUAAGAAUAAGGAUCGGCUAACUCCGUGCCAGCAGCCGCGGUAAUACGGAGGAUCCAAGCGUUAUCCGGAAUCAUUGGGUUUAAAGGGUCCGUAGGCGGCUAUAUAAGUCAGCGGUGAAAGUUUUUGGCUUAACCAAAAAAUUGCCGUUGAUACUGUAUUGCUUGAAUUUUUGUGAAGUAACUAGAAUAUGUAGUGUAGCGGUGAAAUGCUUAGAUAUUACAUGGAAUACCAAUUGCGAAGGCAGGUUACUAACAAACGAUUGACGCUGAUGGACGAAAGCGUGGGUAGCGAACAGGAUUAGAUACCCUGGUAGUCCACGCCGUANACGAUGGAUACUAGUUGUUGGAUUNU
Molecule: ribosomal RNA, 770 nt
Filed under: uncultured bacterium
Lineage: Bacteria
Description: bacterial SSU rRNA
Rfam family: Bacterial small subunit ribosomal RNA
Source: RNAcentral